Molecule: ribosomal RNA, 253 nt
Filed under: uncultured bacterium
Lineage: Bacteria
Description: partial 16S ribosomal RNA
Rfam family: Bacterial small subunit ribosomal RNA
Source: RNAcentral
UACAGAGGUCUCAAGCGUUGUUCGGAUUCAUUGGGCGUAAAGGGCGCGUAGGCGGCCAACUAAGUCCGACGUGAAAUCCCCAGGCUUAACCUGGGAACUGCGUCGGAUACUGGAUGGCUUGAAUUCGGGAGAGGGAUGCAGAAUUCCAGGUGUAGCGGUGAAAUGCGUAGAUAUCUGGAGGAACACCGGUGGCGAAGGCGGGUCGCUGGGCCGAUACUGACGCUGAGGAGCGAAAGCGUGGGGAGCGAACAGG